GAUGAACGCUGGCGGCGUGCCUAAUACAUGCAAGUCGAGCGAACGGACGAGAAGCUUGUUCCUCUGCUGUUAGCGGCGGACGGGUGAGUAACACGUGGAUAACCUACUUAUAAGUCUGGGAUAACUUCGGGAAACUGGUGCUAAUACUGGAUCAUAUUUUGUACCGCAUGGUUCAAAAGUGAUUGACGGUUUUGCUGUCACUUAUAGAUGGAUCCGCGUUGCAUUAGCUAGUUGGUAAGGUAACGGCCUACCAAGGCAACGAUGCGUAGCCGACCUGAGAGGAUGAUCAGCCACACUGGAACUGAGACACGGUCCAGACUCCUACGGGAGGCAGCAGUAGGGAAUCUUCGGCAAUGGGCGAAAGCCUGAUGGAGCAAUACCGCGUGAGUGAUGAAGGUCUUCGGAUCGUAAAGCUCUGUUAUUAGGGAAGAACAUAUGUGUAAGUAACUGUGCACAUCUUGACGGUACCUAAUCAGAAAGCCACGGCUAACUACGUG
RNAcentral lists this ribosomal RNA (497 nucleotides) under uncultured bacterium. RNAcentral's name for it is "partial 16S ribosomal RNA". It matches the Rfam family "Bacterial small subunit ribosomal RNA", at positions 28 to 507 of the family's 1533-position model. The record is from RNAcentral.